UGUAUUUUGUAAAGUUGUUCUAGUUUUGUAACUAAAAUGGUUUGGCAGUGAGCGAUUCUUAUUAGGGGAAUAUGCAUAGUGAAGGAUGGUCCACCUAUUAGUUUACUCUUUUUAUGUUGGUGUAUGUCUGGUUUGAUAUUAUUGUUGAAUAAUUUAAGUUUGUGUAGUUUUAGUUAAGCUAAGUCUAUGUGCUGCUUAUUGGAGUUUUUGUGUGUUACAUUAAUAAGGGUGUUAUUGUAAGAUGAUGUGAUUUAGGA
This 257-nucleotide ribosomal RNA is filed under the name Echinococcus granulosus. RNAcentral describes it as "partial small subunit ribosomal RNA". Lineage: Eukaryota; Metazoa; Platyhelminthes; Cestoda; Cyclophyllidea; Taeniidae. The record is from RNAcentral.